RNAcentral lists this microRNA (24 nucleotides) under Bos taurus (domestic cattle). RNAcentral's name for it is "bta-miR-1301". Lineage: Eukaryota; Metazoa; Chordata; Mammalia; Artiodactyla; Bovidae. The record is from miRBase by way of RNAcentral.
UUGCAGCUGCCUAGGAGUGAUUUC